GGAUUUGCAUUGCAGCAGGGGGAUCUCACCGAGGCAGGAAACUCAGCACUCAGGCUUGGUGCCAGAUUCUGAACGUGCACGAUUCCACUUUUGAAAUAAGUAAGUGGAGGUGACUGGUUACCCAAGGCCUGUUCUUCCAAACCAGGCAGUUUCCAAUCUCAUAAUUGCCUUUUUCUGCAUGGAUUUUGCAAUCUAAGAUUUGGUCAAGAUACUGUACUAAAAAAAAAAUAAUUCACAGUCCUCAGGAAGGAGAGAUUAUAGCUUUCAGAUCUCAUUAUAAAAGCCUUGCCUCUCUGGAAUGAGCAAAAGGGAAAACAAAAACAGUACUUUGGAAUUUUCCUCAGAACAGCUACCGUGAUAGAGCACGAUGUUUUAUUUGUAUUUUCUUUCUGACAAUCCAUUUCUCAAGGAAUUGUUCCAAAGGCAAUAAACUCUUUUCAGAUAUA
Ornithorhynchus anatinus (platypus) is the source of this 446-nucleotide long non-coding RNA. RefSeq lists it as uncharacterized. The transcript is spliced from 2 exons. The record is from RefSeq and is a predicted model, not a curated record. Lineage: Eukaryota; Metazoa; Chordata; Mammalia; Monotremata; Ornithorhynchidae.